RNAcentral lists this ribosomal RNA (460 nucleotides) under uncultured bacterium. RNAcentral's name for it is "partial 16S ribosomal RNA". It matches the Rfam family "Bacterial small subunit ribosomal RNA", at positions 338 to 795 of the family's 1533-position model. The record is from RNAcentral.
CCUACGGGAGGCAGCAGUGAGGAAUAUUGGUCAAUGGACGCAAGCCUGAACCAGCCAUGCCGCGUGCAGGAAGACGGCUCUACGAGUUGUAAACUGCUUUUGUACGAGGGCAAACGCAGAUACGUGUAUCUGUCUGCAAGUAUCUUACGAAUAAGGAUCGGCUAACUCCGUGCCAGCAGCCGCGGUAAUACGGAGGAUUCAAGCGUUAUCCGGAUUUAUUGGGUUUAAAGGGUGCGUAGGCGGUCGGAUAAGUUAGAGGUGAAAUCCCGGGGCUCAACUGCGGAAUUGCCUCUGAUACUGUUCGGCUAGAGAGUAGUUGCGGUAGGCGGAAUGUAUGGUGUAGCGGUGAAAUGCUUAGAGAUCAUACAGAACACCGAUUGCGAAGGCAGCUUACCAAGCUACUACUGACGUUGAGGCACGAAAGCGUGGGGAGCGAACAGGAUUAGAUACCCCUGUAGUC